This is a non-coding RNA of Pelobates cultripes (western spadefoot toad), 412 nucleotides long. Lineage: Eukaryota; Metazoa; Chordata; Amphibia; Anura; Pelobatidae. The record is from the annotation of a GenBank genome assembly.
CCACACUAACCAGCACCCUGGGUGAGAUAGCUGCACUCUGUGCCCCCUUGAUCACUUUACCACUCUUCUCCCCCCUGCCUUACCUAGCACACAUCACCCCUGUUACCCCUGGCUUGCUGCACUCCUCACCCCUGUUACCCCUGGCUUGCUGCACUCCUAACCCUUGUUACCCCUGGCUCGCUGCACUCCUCACCCCUGGCUCGCUGCACUCCUCACCCCUGUUGCCCCAGGCUUGCUGCACUCCUCACCCCUGUUACCCCUGGCUUGCUGCACUCCUCACCCUUGUUACCCCUGGCUUGCUGCACUCCUCAACCCUGCUACCCCUGGCUCGCUGCACUCCUCACCCCUGUUACCCCUGGCUCGCUGCACUCCUCACCCCUGUUACCCCUGGCUCGCUGCACUCCUCACCCCU